Molecule: small nucleolar RNA, 198 nt
Filed under: Castor canadensis (American beaver)
Lineage: Eukaryota; Metazoa; Chordata; Mammalia; Rodentia; Castoridae
Description: Small nucleolar RNA SNORA73 family (ENSCCNG00000031716.1)
Rfam family: Small nucleolar RNA SNORA73 family
About the family: U17 (SNORA73A and SNORA73B) also known as E1 belongs to the H/ACA class of small nucleolar RNAs (snoRNAs).
Source: Rfam by way of RNAcentral
CCAACAUGGAUACCCCAGGAGGCCACACUCCCUGGGCUCUAAGUGGCACACAGGAACAUAGGGCUCUGCCCCAUGACGUACAGCCCCUUUCCACAAUGUUGGAGAAGAAGCUGGGCCUUGAGUCUGAGCCUGCAUAUUCCUGUGACUUCUGAGUCCUGUGGACAAUGACUAAGAAAACAAACCAUACAAGAAACACUC